AGCAGCCGCGGUAAUUCCAGCUCCAAUAGCGUAUAUUAAAGUUGCUGCAGUUAAAAAGCUCGUAGUUGAAUUUCGGGAUCAAUAUGUUGGUCAUGCCUUGGUACGUACUAGCUUAUUGAUUUCUCCCUUCUGAUGAACCAUGAUGUCAUUAAUUUGGUGUCAUGGGAAUUAGGACUGUUACUUUGAAAAAAUUAGAGUGUUUAAAGCAGGCUCACGCUUGAAUACAUUAGCAUGGAAUAAUGAAAUAGGACGUUUGAUUCUAUUUUGUUGGUUUCUAGGAUCGAUGUAAUGAUUAAUAGGGAUAGUUGGGGGCAUUAGUAUUCAAUUGUCAGAGGUGAAAUUCUUGGAUUUAUUGAAGACUAACUAUUGCGAAAGCAUUUGCCAAGGAUGUUUUCAUUAAUCAAGAACGAAAGUUAGGGAUCG
RNAcentral lists this ribosomal RNA (423 nucleotides) under uncultured Glomeromycotina. Its description in RNAcentral is "SSU rRNA". It matches the Rfam family "Eukaryotic small subunit ribosomal RNA", at positions 569 to 1000 of the family's 1831-position model. The record is from RNAcentral. Lineage: Eukaryota; Fungi; Glomeromycota.